RNAcentral lists this ribosomal RNA (292 nucleotides) under uncultured bacterium. RNAcentral describes it as "partial 16S ribosomal RNA". It matches the Rfam family "Bacterial small subunit ribosomal RNA", at positions 505 to 796 of the family's 1533-position model. The record is from RNAcentral.
GUGCCAGCAGCCGCGGUAAUACGGAGGGUGCAAGCGUUAUCCGGAUUCACUGGGUUUAAAGGGUGCGUAGGAGGGUUGGUAAGUCAGUGGUGAAAUCUCCGAGCUUAACUUGGAAACUGCCGUUGAUACUAUCAAUCUUGAAUAUCGUGGAGGUGAGCGGAAUAUGUCAUGUAGCGGUGAAAUGCUUAGAUAUGACAUAGAACACCAAUUGCGAAGGCAGCUCGCUACACGAAUAUUGACUCUGAGGCACGAAAGCGUGGGGAUCAAACAGGAUUAGAAACCCGAGUAGUCC